GGACGAAAGUUAAAUAUGGACACAGACGUAUGGGGGUGGGGGUCUAAAAGAGGUUCGCUGAAACGAGGGAGCAGAAUUUUGCUGAAGUUGAAUUUAACUUGCCCCUCAGCAAAGUGGGAAACAUUGCAAGGAGUUAGGUAAAGCUGGCUUGGAGGGAAAAAUGAUCAUAAAAUGGGUUAGAUUAAAAUAGGUGAUGGUGUCUUAAGUUUAUUUCUAACUCAAUAUUUUGAUUCCUGCAUUCUACUAGAGUCGAUUUGCAUUAUUCAUAGUUAAAAACAAUGCUUAUUUAUCUCACACAAGUCUUUUGUGCAGCUUAUCACAGCUGCUGUGAGGUGAGAGGCAGGGGACACUAUGGAGGCGGCGCCAGUCUUUUGCUAGCUAACACAGACAACAAUUCACACCUACAGUCAGUUUAGAAUCAUCAACCUAACCCCACUAACUGCACGCUUUUGGGUGGAGUAGCUGGAGAGAACCCACACAGGUGCAAGAAAAACACAAACAGAGCCGUCUCUCUAUCUCUCUCUGAGAGUUUCUACUGCGUAGGGAUCAUCUGUGCAAGCUGAUCCCCAGCCAAACGCCGAGAGGAGGAACAAUUUCAGAGCGUUUCUCAGUUCUUCCAGAGCUUCUGUUUCUCCCGUGGUGCUGCUGAAGCUGCUGGUGCUGGAAGAAGAACGAGAAAUGUUCUGCCUGCCGCCGCCGCACUCCUUCAGCUUGACAAACGGCCUGUUGAGGAGAACACAGAGGAGCAGCCAUCUCAGGUGAGCUCGGAUUGGAUGACGUCUCUGAUUUCACGUCCUGGGACAGUGAGCAGCUCUCUGCAAACUUUUGGUCGCUGCACACAAAAAGCAAAUCCGUUUCUGUGCUGGAGUGGAGACGGGGGAAGAGACCCGAGCGCCGUUUUACAGGGCUCUUCAGGGGAGACUUGGCUGAGAGUACAGGAGGCUGCGGAUCACAGAAUAAAGAAUUUGGCUUCUCUUAGUAUUG
Oreochromis aureus is the source of this 984-nucleotide long non-coding RNA. RefSeq lists it as uncharacterized. The record is from RefSeq and is a predicted model, not a curated record. The transcript is spliced from 5 exons. Lineage: Eukaryota; Metazoa; Chordata; Actinopteri; Cichliformes; Cichlidae.